CCAAUAGCGUAUAUUAAAGUUGUUGCAGUUAAAAAGCUCGUAGUUGAAUUUCGGGACUAAUAUGUCGGUCGUACUUUGUACGUACUAGCAUUAUUGGUUUCUCCCUUCUGACGAACCACGAUGUCAUUAAUUUGGUGUCGCGGGAAAUCAGGACUGUUACUUUGAAAAAAUUAGAGUGUUUAAAGCAAGCUCGCGCUUGA
RNAcentral lists this ribosomal RNA (200 nucleotides) under uncultured Glomus. RNAcentral describes it as "partial small subunit ribosomal RNA". It matches the Rfam family "Eukaryotic small subunit ribosomal RNA", at positions 591 to 798 of the family's 1831-position model. The record is from RNAcentral. Lineage: Eukaryota; Fungi; Glomeromycota; Glomeromycetes; Glomerales; Glomeraceae.